Agrilus planipennis (emerald ash borer) is the source of this 662-nucleotide long non-coding RNA. RefSeq lists it as uncharacterized. The record is from RefSeq and is a predicted model, not a curated record. NCBI's taxonomy places the organism in Eukaryota, Metazoa, Arthropoda, Insecta, Coleoptera, Buprestidae. The transcript is spliced from 3 exons.
UAUCUUCUCUUUCUUCUUUUCUAAUGCUCUCUUUUUUAACCUUCCAUCGUCAUUAUCGCUCUCGUAUUUUUUUAAGAUUAGAGUUGUGAUCAGGCGAUGGAACUUGCACGAGGCAAAACCUACAUAAUUUUGAAAUGAUUUUGAAUUUUAUAAAACGAGGAGGAAACUAGCCACGCGAUUGGUUAAAUUACGAAACAUUUGCCGCGAACCGUCGCAGAAAUCGAAUAUGAUGCUUCUGAGUAGUAUUUUGUUACGUCAUCAGUGCUUCGUGCAGUAGCUUUCGCAAUUUUGCGACAAGCUUGAGACACGUUCGGUGUAUUACAGUGUAUUAUAAGUUCGUAGCGCUUGGAGGCGGUAGGACGUGUUUUCCCGUCUCUUAAAUUCAACUUGCCGAGCUAAUUUUGUCGUAGAAUUGGUUUUAUUGUUUUUUACGCCUGAAAGAUUAGCCAGCAAUUGAGAGAUUGGAACUGAUAUCCAUCCUUUGCUUACUUAAAAGAUAAGUCGUAUCGUAUGGUGUUUUAGCUGUUAACUUUUCAUCUUGGAGGCUCUUGCAGUUAAUUAAGGGACGUUAGAAGAACUCCAGAUACAAUUAAAUUGUGUCUGUUCUCAUUGGCUCCAAAAAGUGACUGUUUUUAUGGUCAUAAAGAAAGCGUGAAAGUGCC